Molecule: ribosomal RNA, 109 nt
Filed under: human gut metagenome
Source: RNAcentral
GGUGUUUAUAGCGUUGAGGUUCCACCUGUUCCCUUUCCGAACACAGAAGUUAAGCUCUUCCGCGUAGAUGAUACUUGGACGGUGACGUCCUGGAAAAUUAUAUCAAUGC